UCCAGCCUGGGCAACAAGAGAGAAACUGUCUCAAAAAAAUAAAAAUAAUAAUUUGUUGAUAUCUCAUUGAGUAUUAGAACAAAGUUUUCAUAGACAAUGCGAUCAGAGCAGUUUUGAAAUGUGAAUGUAUUUGUAAACUUUUUAAAUUGAAGAGUUUGUGGACAGUAUCACAUUAAGUCUAUUCACACUUUUGUAAAUUGAUAAUCCUACCGUAAGCUUAAUAACCCACUGGCCACACUGAAAGUAGCAAUUGUAAGAAAUAAAAUAUGUAUACUCACAGCUCCCAAAGACAGCACAGUUGGUAUUUGCUAUGUCACUUUUAUUUCCCAGUCUUCAGCAUUUCUUAUUAUUUUCUUUCUGAUCUUUUAUAUACAAGGGAUCACUCUGUAUUUAUUACAACCCCAUAUUAAUACACAAUUACCGCCUGAGCCAGGUCAGUCGGGGAGUGCAGGCUGGCCCAUUCCGGACUCUGGGCUCCUAGGCCGGGGGUGGGCCCUGCCAGGAGUGGGCGUGAGCUUCGCACGUCCUCUGAGACUACGCUGUGUUCUGUCUUUGUGGCGCGACGGGCGUGGGAGCGGGGCCUGCCCAAAGGUGGGCUGGGGUUGGAGGAAGUGGCCCGGUAGCCGCUGUGUGUCCUGAGGCCCUAAGGCCCCUGACCCCCCCGCUUGAAGCUGGCGAAGGAGCAAGGCCCAUUUUCUCUAGACAAUCGUCAUGAUCCGCUGGGCCCCCAGUGCAUCUCCUGGAAGAGCCCACUCACCCUGAACGAGCUCUUCGGUAGCCUCAGACCGUCCUUGAAGAGGAUGACUGAGACUUUAUGGGCCACGCGCUGUGUGUCUGCUCUCGGGGAACUGUCAUCAUUGACAAUAAGCACUACCUCUUCAUCCAGAAACUGGGGGAGGGUGGGUUCAGCUAUGUGGACCUAGUGGAAGGGUUACAUGAUGGACACUUCUACGCCCUGAAGGGAAUCCUGUGUCACAAGCAGCAGGACCGGGAGGAGGCCCAGCGAGAAGCCGACAUGCAUCGCCUCUUCAGUCACCCCAACAUCCUUCGCCUCGUGGCUUACUGUCUGAGGGAGCGGUGUGCUAAGCAUGAGGCCUGGCUGCUGCUACCGUUCUUCAAGAGAGGUACGCUGUGGAAUGAGAUAGAAAGGCUGAAGGACAAAGGCAACUUCCUGACCGAGGAUCAAAUCCUUUGGCCGCUGCUGGGGAUCUGCAGAGGCCUUGAGGCCAUUCAUGCCAAGGGUUAUGCCCACAGGGACUUGAAGCCCACCAAUAUAUUGCUCAGAGAUGAGGGGCAACCAGUUUUAAUGGACUUGGGUUCUAUGAAUCAAGCAUGCAUCAAUGUGGAGGGCUCCCACCAGGCUCUGACUCUGCAGGACUGGGCAGCCCAGCGGUGCACCAUCUCCUACCGAGCCCCAGAGCUCUUCUCUGUGCAGGGUCACUGUGUCAUCGAUGCGCGGACUGAUGUCUGGUCCCUAGGCUGCGUGCUAUAUGCCAUGAUGUUUGGAGAAGGCCCUUACGACAUGGUGUUCCAAAAGGGUGACAGUGUGGCCCUUGCUGUGCAGAACCAACUCAGCAUCCCACAAAGCCCCAGGCAUUCUUCAGCAUUACGGCAACUCCUGGCCUCUAUGAUGACCGUGGACCCGCAUCAGCGUCCUCACAUUCCUCUCCUCCUCAGUCAGCUGGAGGCGCUGCAGCCCCCAGCUCCUGGCCAGCAUACUACCCAAAUCUGAAAAAGCAGCAGGUUGAGAAGAUGGCCCCUCGUGCCUCGGAAAGAGGUUCCCAUCCCUCAUUGGAAACUUUACCCAUUCCAUCCAGGACUGCUCUUACACUUGGGGGUAGCGGGGUCAGGAGAAUCAUCUUAGUCCUGCAUCUGCUCUUCUGCUUUCUUCCAAGAGCAAAACCUGGGCAAGGGGCCUUACUGAGUGGGAGUGGGUGGGGGUUGGGAAAAGGGAAAUGGUGGGAUACGGGGCAUGGCUCUGAGCAGGACUGUUGAGCUCACAUAGUGUUCUGCCUCCAAAUCUGGGAGCAGGAGAAUGUAUAAACAAGAAUAAAGUGGAAGCAGAUUGGUGU
Rhinopithecus roxellana (golden snub-nosed monkey) is the source of this 2072-nucleotide RNA transcript. It is a transcript of the gene named serine/threonine-protein kinase 16 pseudogene, with no coding region annotated. The record is from RefSeq and is a predicted model, not a curated record. NCBI's taxonomy places the organism in Eukaryota, Metazoa, Chordata, Mammalia, Primates, Cercopithecidae. The transcript has a single exon.